This 299-nucleotide signal recognition particle RNA is filed under the name Aotus nancymaae (Ma's night monkey). RNAcentral describes it as "Metazoan signal recognition particle RNA (ENSANAG00000005368.1)". It matches the Rfam family "Metazoan signal recognition particle RNA". From Rfam's summary of the family: The signal recognition particle (SRP) is a universally conserved ribonucleoprotein. The record is from RNAcentral. Lineage: Eukaryota; Metazoa; Chordata; Mammalia; Primates; Aotidae.
GCCGGGCGCAGUGGCGCGUGCCUGUAGUCCCAGCUACUCGGGAGGCUGAGGUGGGAGGAUCGCUUGAGCCCAGGAGUUCUGGGCUGCAAUGUGCUAUGCCGGCCGGGUGUCCGCACUAAGUUCGGCAUCAAUAUGGUGACCUCCCGGGAGCGGGGGACCACCAGGUUGCCUAAGGAGGGGUGAACUGGCCCAGGUCGGAAACGGAGCAGGUCAAAACUCCCGUGCUGAUCAGUAGUGGGAUUGCGCCUGUGAAUAGCCACUGCACUCCAGCCUGGGGGACAUAGCGAGACUCUGUCUCU